RNAcentral lists this ribosomal RNA (1692 nucleotides) under Scorpaena agassizii (longfin scorpionfish). RNAcentral's name for it is "16S ribosomal RNA". It matches the Rfam family "Bacterial large subunit ribosomal RNA". Lineage: Eukaryota; Metazoa; Chordata; Actinopteri; Perciformes; Scorpaenidae. The record is from RNAcentral.
UGCUAAACAGCUAGCCCAACAACACAACAUCAACCAACCCAUAUACAUAAACCUAAAUAUACCAACCCAAACCUAAGUAAACCAUUUCACCGCUUUAGUAUUGGCGAAAGAAAAAGACAUAAGGAGCAAUAGAAAAAGUACCGCAAGGGAAUGCUGAAAGAGAAAUGAAAUAAUUCAUUAAAGCAAACAAAAGCAGAGAUCAACCCUCGUACCUUUUGCAUCAUGAUUUAGCCAGUGCCCUCAAGCAAAACGUAUUUUAGUUUGAUACCCCGAAACCAGGUGAGCUACUCCAAGACAGCCUAUUAAAGGGCCAACCCGUCUCUGUGGCAAAAGAGUGGGAGGAUCUUAGAGUAGAGGUGACAGACCUACCGAACCUUGUUAUAGCUGGUUGCCCGGGAAUUGAAUAGGAGUUCAGCUUUUCAGCUUCUUUUUUUAAUUAAGUAACUCACUUAUAAAAGCCUAAGAAACUGAAAAAGUUAGUCAAAGGGGGUACAGCCCAUUUGAACAAAGAUACAACUUUAUUUAGGGAGGGUUAAGAUCAUAAUUGAACUAAGGAAAAACACUUAGGUUGGCUUAAGAGCAGCCACCCUGCAGAAAGCGUCAUAGCUCAAGUUUCUAUUAUAACCCACUUAUUCUGAUAAUAUUUCUUAUCCCCCCACCUGCUACCGGGCCGUCCCAUCCCAAACAUGGGAAUGACCCUGCUAAUAUGAGUAAUAAGAGACCCAAGACUCUCUCCCGACACACGUGUAUCUCGGAUCGAACCCACACCGAAAAACAACGGCCCCAAACCAAGAGGGUACUGAAAAAUACUACAAUUAACAAGAAAAAAAUUCAUGUUUAACCGUUAACCCCACACAGGUGUGUCCCCAGGGAAAGGCUAAACGAAAAAGAAGGAACUCGGCAAACCAACCAAGCCUCGCCUGUUUACCAAAAACAUCGCCUCUUGCAAAGCUAAAGAAUAAGAGGUCCUGCCUGCCCUGUGACUAUAUGUUUAACGGCCGCGGUAUUUUAACCGCGCGAAGGUAGCGUAAUCACUUGUCUUUUAAAUGAAGACCUGUAUGAAUGGCUAGACGAGGGCUUAACUGUCUCCUUUUUCAUGCCAAUGAAAUUGAUCUCCCCGUGCAGAAGCGGGGAUAACACCAUAAGACGAGAAGACCCUGUGGAGCUUUAGACACCAAGGGAGACCAUGUCACCAACCCUCUGACAAGAGACCAAACAAGUGGACUACCUUCCCUAAUGUCUUUGGUUGGGGCGACCGCGGAGAAUCACAAAACACCCGCGUGGAAUGGGCACAUCCUGUUCCUUAAAGUAAGAGCCACAGCUCUAACUAGCAGUAAUUCUGACCACCACAGAUCCGGAGCGACCGAUCAACGGACCUAGUUACCCCAGGGAUAACAGCGCAAUCCUCUUAUAGAGUUCAUAUCGACAAGGGGGUUUACGACCUCGAUGUUGGAUCAGGACAUCCUAAUGGCGCAGCCGCUAUUAAGGGUCCGUUUGUUCAACGGUUAAAGUCCUACGUGAUCUGAGUUCAGACCGGAGUAAUCCAGGUCAGUUUCUAUCUAUGAUAUUCUCCUUUCCAGUACGAAAGGACCGCAAGGAGGAGGCCUCUCGAUUGGUAUGCCUCACCCUCACCUAAUGAAGACAUCUAAAUUUAGGCAAGAGGGCAUAGCCCCCAGCCCGAGAUAAUGGCAU